UUUUUUUUUUUUUUUUUUUCCUCCCUUUUCUUUGAGAGAGAGAGAUGGUAGGAUUUGGAAAUUAAGAUAAUGACAUAGAGGUUUAAGGAAUGGUAAUUGAAAAUGGUAUAAGCCAUCCAAGUUAUUGAAGUUUGUGGGGUUGUUGGCUUGUUGCCAAGUCUUUAUUGCCCUAACACAGUAACGGUUGACAACUAGGAAGGGCUAAAUUUCAAGAAUAAUCGCAAUUUUGUUCAUUAUAUUUGGUCACUGAUGCCUUUCUAUUUUGCUCAAUGUGGAAAUUUAUUUUCAUCCUUUCUACUGUCGUAAAAUAGCACGGCUUGACAGGCUUCUAAAAAAUUUCUUCCCAUUACCACUAAUAAAUGUUAUAUUGGAGUAUUAUCCUACUUGCUGGAGUUGGUGUUUCUUUGGUCCAGAAUAGGAUCCCUUACAGGCACUGACAGAGAUGAAUGUCCGUCAGACCUUGCAGAAGUUGAGUCAAAAUGUAAUUUAUAUGUUAAUAAUUAUGGGUGAAUUUCGAAAGUAAAUUGAUGAGAACAUAGAGAGUUUAAACUGGUCCUGGAAGGUGCUAGAUAUUGCCUCUAAGUUGUUUUGAUUGUAUUGAUAACAUAGAGAGUUUAAACUGGUUCUUCAAAACUGAUAUUAGUAUUGCUAAUUUAAUAAUAACAUGCCAAUGUGAUUAGGCCAAGUUGCGUUCACUGUGUCUAACUAGCUAGGUGAACAACAUGUGGGACAAUUAUAUUGAAUUCAACUAACAUUUUGUGCUUUUAAUUCUUUGGCUUAGCAGCAUGUCUGCAAAACUUUUAAAUGCCAUGACUGGCCAUUGACAUUGCAGAAUUGUGCACACAACUUACUGAGGAUAUCACAAGCCAGCUAAAUUCGCUUCUGGUCCAUAUAUUCAAUUAAAUAGGAACUUUUGGUCCAUGAUGCAUUUAUUUUCUUGUGAACAUCGCAUCAUGCCUAAUUCCGAAGGUAUUCUGGCAUACUCUAGGAGCAAGGUAGCACCACAUGAAAAUAAAUUCUUACAACCCUUCCUCUCAUUUUACUUGAUGCUAAUUUAAUCUUUUUAUUUAAUUAUUUAAGAAGCCAUUUUUUUUUGCUCCCUAGGAUUUUUAAAUCUAUAAUUCCUCUUUAAAAUGUCAACAAAUGAACUUAAUCUAGUGUUAUUUUCAGGUUAUUUCCUUUGUUUUUCUCAGAUGCCUCAAAUGUUAACUUGUCUGAUUGGAAAAUCAAAUUAGUUAAUGUUCUAUGGUUAACAUUUGUGUACUUUUCAUCAACAGAUCCACUUUAUAAGUCUUUCUAUCAGAUAGCUAACUCUCUGUGGCUUUUAACUUUCAUUGGCUUUUUGGCA
RNAcentral lists this unclassified non-coding RNA (1348 nucleotides) under Hevea brasiliensis (rubber tree). The record is from RNAcentral. Lineage: Eukaryota; Viridiplantae; Streptophyta; Magnoliopsida; Malpighiales; Euphorbiaceae.